UACGUAGGGACCAAGCGUUGUUCGGAUUUACUGGGCGUAAAGGGCGCGUAGGCGGCGCGACAAGUCACUUGUGAAAUCUCUGGGCUCAACCCAGAACGGUCAAGUGAUACUGUCGUGCUAGAGUGCGGAAGGGGCAACUGGAAUUCUUGGUGUAGCGGUGAAAUGCGUAGAUAUCAAGAGGAACACCUGCGGCGAAGGCGGGUUGCUGGGCCGACACUGACGCUGAGGCGCGAAAGCUAGGGGAGCGAACGGG
RNAcentral lists this ribosomal RNA (253 nucleotides) under uncultured bacterium. RNAcentral describes it as "partial 16S ribosomal RNA". It matches the Rfam family "Bacterial small subunit ribosomal RNA", at positions 524 to 776 of the family's 1533-position model. The record is from RNAcentral.